CAGCUUCCAUCAGAGAAGGCAUCCUGGAGCUGAAGCUUGGCUGAGAUGUUCCUGACUUGUCAGGCAGAUCCCUCUGUCGGAUCAUGGUCCCUUUAUUCUCCUUUCCUCUGAGAACUGGAUUAUUUCAUAAUAUCUCUCUUGGCUCAGAUCUGGAUAAGGUUCUGGCAAGAGACCUCUUCCCAGUGUUGGAUCGCCCCACAGAGGCCACGACAGAUGAUGAUCAAGCAGGACUUUGAGCCUGGGCUUCUGGAAAUGUGAGGCAGUGUACCUGCAAGGCCAAGCCGGUGUCCAAUAUUUAAGGGAAUGACUCACAAGAGAAACAAACACUGGAAAAAUAUGUUAAUUUUAGUGGUGUGGAAGUCUUUCCAGUCUUCUAGAAUUUUCCCUACAUACUUGCCAGUAUUACAAGUUGAAUGACUUGAGUUUGGAAAGAAGCGGCCUGUGCUGGCAUAGACCUGGAUCACAUUUACUGUGCCAUAGCUCAGGCGAAGCCAAGCACAUUGCUUGAAAUCUACUUAUAGACGACAGGCAAUUGACCCUUAACAGUAAUUAAAUAAUAAAUCCCAUGCCUGCAGUGAUUCCAAAACACUGGCUUUUUACCUUCUUGCCUUGGAUUUCUCCAAAUGGCACCCUGUCCAUUGGCGGUUCUUGUGCUUCAAGUGUUUGUACUAAAAUGAGGUCCAACUUCUCAUGAGCAGGAUUUAAGUUAGCACCUGACAGGGACUACAUGAAAAGAUGCACAGAAUCCUCUAUUUGAAGAAAAAUCGAAAGCACUGCUGGGAAAGAAAAGAAAAUCAUCAUAACUGAAAUUUCCGAGGUUGUCUCCACAGCAUGUACUCAGCUAGGCAGAGGGAGAUAUGGAAGGCCAAGAGGAGGAUGAGGAGCUUCCUGGGCCAUCGCAGACCGUUGCGUCAUCUGUCCGUGUCUCGGCGGAACGGGAUGACUCUCUGCCCCUUGAGGUAAGACCAGACCCUCUCUCAGAGUUUAGCUUCCAAUUAAGACAAACACUGGCCUUGUUUAAAAGGGAACAAUGGAAUGAUGAUUCCCUUAA
This is a long non-coding RNA of Polypterus senegalus (gray bichir), 1051 nucleotides long. RefSeq lists it as uncharacterized. NCBI's taxonomy places the organism in Eukaryota, Metazoa, Chordata, Cladistia, Polypteriformes, Polypteridae. The transcript has 7 exons. The record is from RefSeq and is a predicted model, not a curated record.